Molecule: ribosomal RNA, 923 nt
Filed under: uncultured Bacteroidota bacterium
Lineage: Bacteria; Pseudomonadati; Bacteroidota
Description: bacterial SSU rRNA
Rfam family: Bacterial small subunit ribosomal RNA
Source: RNAcentral
UGGAUCCAGACUUUGAUUCUGGCUCAGGAUGAACGCUAGCUACAGGCUUAACACAUGCAAGUCGAGGGGCAUCGGGAAGAAAGCUUGCUUUCUUUGCCGGCGACCGGCGCACGGGUGAGUAACACGUAUCCAACCUGCCCUUUACUCGGGGAUAGCCUUUCGAAAGAAAGAUUAAUACCCGAUAGCAUAAUGAUACCGCAUGGUUUCAUUAUUAAAGGAUUCCGGUAAAGGAUGGGGAUGCGUUCCAUUAGGUUGUUGGUGGGGUAACGGCCCACCAAGCCUUCGAUGGAUAGGGGUUCUGAGAGGAAGGUCCCCCACAUUGGAACUGAGACACGGUCCAAACUCCUACGGGAGGCAGCAGUGAGGAAUAUUGGUCAAUGGGCGCUGGCCUGAACCAGCCAAGUAGCGUGAAGGAUGAAGGCUCUAUGGGUCGUAAACUUCUUUUAUAUAAGAAUAAAGUGCAGUAUGUAUACUGUUUUGUAUGUAUUAUAUGAAUAAGGAUCGGCUAACUCCGUGCCAGCAGCCGCGGUAAUACGGAGGAUCCGAGCGUUAUCCGGAUUUAUUGGGUUUAAAGGGAGCGUAGGUGGACUGGUAAGUCAGUUGUGAAAGUUUGCGGCUCAACCGUAAAAUUGCAGUUGAUACUGUCAGUCUUGAGUACAGUAGAGGUGGGCGGAAUUCGUGGUGUAGCGGUGAAAUGCUUAGAUAUCACGAAGAACUCCGAUUGCGAAGGCAGCUCACUGGACUGCAACUGACACUGAUGCUCGAAAGUGUGGGUAUCAAACAGGAUUAGAUACCCUGGUAGUCCACACAGUAAACGAUGAAUACUCGCUGUUUGCGAUAUACAGUAAGCGGCCAAGCGAAAGCAUUAAGUAUUCCACCUGGGGAGUACGCCGGCAACGGUGCAACUCAAAGGAAUUGACGGA